This 179-nucleotide non-coding RNA is filed under the name Tritonibacter multivorans. RNAcentral describes it as "Tropicibacter sp. CECT 7557 Ruegeria cis52 sRNA". It matches the Rfam family "Ruegeria cis52 sRNA". From Rfam's summary of the family: Cis-encoded. Targets oligo/dipeptide ABC transporter. Lineage: Bacteria; Pseudomonadati; Pseudomonadota; Alphaproteobacteria; Rhodobacterales; Paracoccaceae. The record is from Rfam by way of RNAcentral.
UGCGCAGCGCGUGUUUGAUCACGAUGUUGGGGAAGCUCACACCCUUCAGACGGGCGGUCCGGAUGUAUUGUGCGGUCAUCACCUCGGUCAUCGAUGCACGGGUCAUACGGGCAAUAUAGCCCAUGCCAUAAAGGGCAAUGGUCAGAACCGGCAGGAAGAAGUUCUCAAAGGUCGGGUUU